GAAAUGUUAGUUAAUUUAUAACUUUAUCUUGUCAAGACAAAAUAAUAGGUUAAACCCCUAUACAUCUCU
RNAcentral lists this transfer RNA (69 nucleotides) under Pristimantis thymelensis (Thymelen robber frog). RNAcentral's name for it is "tRNA-Asp". The record is from RNAcentral. Lineage: Eukaryota; Metazoa; Chordata; Amphibia; Anura; Strabomantidae.